This 66-nucleotide transfer RNA is filed under the name Nesophrosyne kanawao. RNAcentral's name for it is "tRNA-Thr". The record is from RNAcentral. Lineage: Eukaryota; Metazoa; Arthropoda; Insecta; Hemiptera; Cicadellidae.
GUUUUAAUAAUUUAAAUAAUAAAAAUAUUAGUCUUGUAAAUUAAAAUUAGGAUUUCCUUUAAAACU